RNAcentral lists this ribosomal RNA (259 nucleotides) under uncultured Actinomycetales bacterium. Its description in RNAcentral is "partial 16S ribosomal RNA". It matches the Rfam family "Bacterial small subunit ribosomal RNA", at positions 524 to 785 of the family's 1533-position model. The record is from RNAcentral. Lineage: Bacteria; Bacillati; Actinomycetota; Actinomycetes; Actinomycetales.
UACGUAGGGCGCAAGCGUUGUCCGGAAUUAUUGGGCGUAAAGAGCUCGUAGGCGGUCUGUCGCGUCUGCUGUGAAAUCCCGAGGCUCAACCUCGGGCUUGCAGUGGGUACGGGCAGACUAGAGUGCGGUAGGGGAGAAUGGAAUUCCUGGUGUAGCGGUGGAAUGCGCAGAUAUCAGGAGGAACACCGAUGGCGAAGGCAGUUCUUGGCCGUAACUGACGCUGAGGAGCGAAAGCGUGGGGAGCGACAGGAUUAGAUAC